This is a long non-coding RNA of Oreochromis aureus, 659 nucleotides long. NCBI's taxonomy places the organism in Eukaryota, Metazoa, Chordata, Actinopteri, Cichliformes, Cichlidae. The record is from Ensembl.
GUUCACACCGAACGCGAUAGAGGCGGCCAGAGCGUCAGUGUUCCGUGUCUUGCGUGUCUUGCGCGUUUGACUCGCGAAAAAAACCACGCGCGUGAGUUUUUGUGUUGCAAUCUGUUUCGGUAGAGGCGAAACAGAUUUUUCCAACUGUUUCGCCUCUACUACUCGAGUUGGAAAAAUCUGAACUCCAGCGUCAAAUCGCGCUGCGACAACCAAUCAGGAGCCUGGUGACGUGGCUGUAACCAGGUCAAAGGGGCAGAUCCAGCCAAAGCCCUUCAUUCUUCAAUGGAGGGAAGGCUAAUCAACGCCUUAGCAAACAACCCAGAGCUGUACCACACCAGCUGCUUUGUGUACCGAGACAGGAAUAUAAAGGACCGAGCUUGGAGGAAGAUAUGUGAAGAGAUCGGGCAACCUGAACCAACUGAUUCUGCAGCAGAGCAUCCCCUGUUGCUUCUCCUUGCUCCCCAGUCCCUCAGCUUCUGCUGCUGCACCCACAGGCCCAGAGAGGAGGACAGCUCCGAGGCAGAUGAGGGACUGGUCCCAGGACGGUCCAUCGGUGGUGGAGCUGGGCAUCCUGGUGUCCCUGAAGAGGCCACGCCAGUCUCCAAUGGAGCAUUUCCUCCUCAGCCUUGUUCCUGCUCUGGAGAGCAGCUGGGUCCUUU